GGUGAAGUGGCAGAGCGGUUUAAUGCACUUGUCUUGAAAACAAGAGAGGGUGAAAGUCCUCCGUGAGUUCAAAUCUCACCUUCACCGCCA
RNAcentral lists this transfer RNA (90 nucleotides) under Escherichia phage UE-S1. RNAcentral describes it as "tRNA-Ser". It matches the Rfam family "tRNA". From Rfam's summary of the family: Transfer RNA (tRNA) molecules are approximately 80 nucleotides in length. Their secondary structure includes four short double-helical elements and three loops (D, anti-codon, and T loops). The record is from RNAcentral. Lineage: Duplodnaviria; Heunggongvirae; Uroviricota; Caudoviricetes.